CCUACGGGAGGCAGCAGUGGGGAAUAUUGGACAAUGGGCACAAGCCUGACCCAGCAACGCCGCGUGAAUGAAGAAGGCCCUCGGGUUGUAAACUUCUUUUAUCAGGGACGAAGCAAGUGACGGUACCUGAUUAAUAAGCUACCGUUAACUACGUGCCAGCAGCCGCGGUAAUACGUGGGCGGCAAGCGUUAUCCGGAGGUACUGGGUGGAAUGGGCGUGUAGGCGGGAAAGCAAGUCAGAUGUGAAAACCAUGGGCUCAACCUGUGGACUGCAUUUGAUACUGUUUAUCUUGAGUACUGGAGAGGCAGGCGGAAUUCCUGGUGUAGCGGUGAAAUGCGUAGAUAUUAGGAGGAACACCAGUGGCGAAGGCGGUCUGCUGGACGGCGACUGACGCUGAGGCGCGAAAGCGUGGGGAGCAAACAGGAUUAGAUACCCUGGUAGUC
This 443-nucleotide ribosomal RNA is filed under the name uncultured bacterium. RNAcentral's name for it is "partial 16S ribosomal RNA". It matches the Rfam family "Bacterial small subunit ribosomal RNA", at positions 338 to 795 of the family's 1533-position model. The record is from RNAcentral.